GGCCGGCGGAAAGCAAAGGGCCGAAGGAAUCGGGUUGUGCCCCAGGACAAGGCGCGCGGAACGAGUGGACUCCGAAACCCACGGAAAUGAAGCGAGACCCCAGGCGGGCGGCGGUGGAGGCGCCUUGCGACCUUGGGUGACUGACAAGCAGGAUGCCUGGGUUCCGAUCCCCACCCCAGUCUGGCCGCCUCUCCCUGACCCUUAGCCCUACCGCUGCCUGCUGAUGUGUCCACCACCCUCAUUCUCGGUCAGGCCAGCAUAUAUCAGCUCACCAGGAUAUGACUGGAACAUGUCCCUCCCCGACAACAUGGUGUCCAGCCCCUGCCCCACCCCACCACCCACCCUUCCCUCUGAAGGCAGCAUGCUCUGCAGUAUUCCUGCUCCUACCUCGUUAUCCCAACCCUGA
Long non-coding RNA from Zalophus californianus (California sea lion), 406 nucleotides. RefSeq lists it as uncharacterized. The record is from RefSeq and is a predicted model, not a curated record. Lineage: Eukaryota; Metazoa; Chordata; Mammalia; Carnivora; Otariidae. The transcript is spliced from 3 exons.